CCCCUGUAAUUAUGCACAUUUAAAUAAAAAAUUAUUAUUUCAAAUAACUAGGUUAUACUGUAAAAUUCACAUAGACCUUUUUAUUAAAAUAGAAAAUGCAGACAAAGAGAGAAGGAGGUGCAGAUACAAUGCUUCCAUAUCUCACUUUCAGUGGCAAACACUAAUUAAAUAUAGACCAAGUAAAGCUGGGGACAAAACCCAGCAUAUUGGCAGAUCGGGAAGACCACACUGAAUUUGUAUUGCUUCUACACAAAGCGUAGAUUUGCUUGUUUAUCAUUACAUGCAUGCAUAGAUAGGAUAGAUAAGCAGGAUGUGAAGGAUGAAAGUAUUUCAUACUUGCAAAGCAGCAACACAACUUAACGGAUGCUAACUGUCAAGUAAAGGCAGGAAAACUAGGAGCAUUGCAUAAUUGUGCAUUAUCAUCAAUUAAGUGUUAACACUAAUUACGAUAGUUGUCGUUCAGCAACAAAUCCUAAGUAAACUUUUGUUAGAAUAACUAGAUAUAAAUGUUAAUAAACUACAGAUGUUCACUUGUAAAUAUGAAAUUGCAAAAGAGCAUUUGUGUUCAUAACUAUAAUGUAAAAAACAUCGAAGUGUCAGUUCUACUUGGCCAAUAUUUCAAUCAAAUAAUUGGGAGGUGAGGACAUUCCCUUGAGCGUGAAUUUUUGUAGGGCUCCUUUGUAUGGCAGUUGAUAGGUAAACACAAGUUGCUUCAGAUUAUUUUGAGCCUCCCAAUAAGUUACCGAAUGGGUUGUUCUCUUGGGCUGAUAGAGCAUAUGUUGCUGCAGUCGAUAGAAAUAUAGAUUUCAGAGUCUAGGGGAACCUUUUCAAAAGCCUCUAUAGAGAUCUUUUAAAUGACAGGCCUCAAAACAGCUGGGGGCUGAGAGUUUCUCCUCCCAUAAAGUGUGGGGGUUGAUGGUAUGCCAACAGUCAACAGGCCCUUUAUUGGACGAAGAGAGGCAUCCAUUUGAGGAGCUGUCAUUGACCAUUCCUUCUUGCAGGGUGGAGUUUGGUUAUGCACAUAGGUUAUGAUAACUAUGCGAGGAGCUUUCAAGAGUGGAGGAUCGAGCACCUUGUGAGGGAAUGAGGGACGAAGGAUUAUAGCGGGGGAUGGAUCCUCCCAUAAUAGAGGCAAGGGGGUUAAGAGAUAUCAUUUUGAUAACUCCAUUUGGGAUCCGGAGGCAAGCAGUAAUGACAAUGUGCCAUUUGUAGACAGCAAUGGAUUUGUGCCUUCUACUCGCCUAGGUUAAGGUUAUUUGUUUUAGCAUUCUUUGGACCUUAAGUGUAGAAACAAACUCACUUUAUCAUGUUGAGGUAGGCAAACAUGGUGUCAGAUGGACCACACGAUAUUGCGAAUAAGGUAAACAAGAUUGUGACAUUGGUAAACAAGAUUGUGACAUUGUCAGUUGUCUCAGUUUGUCAAGUAUCCCUUCAUACACAUUCAAAAGGAAGCCCAAGAACAAGAUGUGAUGUUUUCAGCAUGAAGCCACAAAAGUCAGAAGAAGCAUGAGAACUUAAGUGUCAACCAACAUUCGGGUCACCCUUAUGCCAAGAAUGUUGAGAUGGGCAAUUAUGAUAUCAAUUGGGCCAUAGAAUAUUGCCGCUACAGUAAACGAGUUCUAUGAAAUUGUCAAUCACCUCAGAUCCUCAAAUGUGCCUUCCAUACAAGACCUAUACGUGGACCCAAAUGUCAGCAAGAAGCAUGAGAACUUGUAAGCAGUAACUAAGAACUCGAUGGUCCGAAUUGCGAAUUGCCCAAGUGGGACCAGAUUGAGACACAGUAGUUACAGACAGAGAAGCCAAAAAUUGGCCAAACCUAAGAAUCCCACCCCUAUCUUAUUUUCAAAUAAAAUCAGCCAGUUGCAGCAGGCAUCCUACUCUCUAAACACUGUUUUAAGGUCUCACCCGACAUUGUAAUAACCUUUGUACCAAGCCGAAUGUCCCAUAUCUAUUUUUCAUCGUACUCAUACCAUAUCUGUUAACUGUGAAAAAGAGAAUCCUUGUGAUAAUGAAGUGGGAAUACACAAGAAAUUAGGAUGCAGAUAUCAGAGUUAUCACUGUUAUAAUGGCCAUGUAUGUCUUCUUCAACAAGUUGAGGAUGAAGGUACGACACAUAGGACCCCAUGCAAUUGCCAAAAAUUAAUUCGCUGACUUGCAUAGUACAAGGAUAGUAAAACAUUCAGAAGGAAAAACAUAUAGAGUAAUUUCUAAUAAUUAAUUUAUGCACUGAACAGUUUAACAUUACAUUGCAUUUAUACAGAGGACAGGAAAAAAGACCAUCUAAUUAAAUCACCCAUGUACAGUAGGGAACUAUUGCACAGCAUAAACAGAUGAAAUAGAUGCUGGAGAACAUAACAAAAUAAUAACACAAAUUGAAAAUGAGUAAUCAUCUAGUAAUAUAGCUUAAAUAUUAUCAAUAAUCACAAAGAUUUGUUUUGCAAAAGCAAUAACAAAAGAGCGAUAACUGACCAGCCUUUUUAAGUUUUAACAAGCAAACUUAAUUAAGUAUAUUAAAUAAAAUGCAUAAAGGAUAUUCAGCUAAGAGAACCAGAAGAUCUACCACAAUCCUCUACUUGAUUCAUAUGAUAGUUUGACCAAUAUUAACGACAAGGAGAUGCAACGGGAAUAAGUAAACUACAGAAUGCAAAGCCAUGAAAGAAACUACCUUCUUUCCCUCUUAUAUCAGGGACCAUAAAAGACAUCACACACGCCCACUUUGCCUACAAAUCACAACACAGCUUUAUUUGGAGAGAGGAACAGUGUCACCAUUAACAAGAUGAAGAAUAAAUCCAGUAACUUGUUAUGUGUUUGAUGGUAAAUAGAAUCUUGUGAACAUUGUCAGAAUCUAAGGUAAGUGUGAGCCUACAGUUACAGUAUGUUAUCAACUGGAUGGAAGAAACAUAAUUAACAAAUCAUUAAAAGAAUGUGUGGCAUCCAAACAUGGUAAGGUGAAUCACGCCCAAAACAGAGAUUGUAUCAAAUGCUUGAAUUGCAAAAGUGAACACAAGAUGCAAGGCUAAUCAAUUGAAAUUGCAAUUAAACAGCACUCUCACAUGUUUAAUGAAAUGAAGCAGGUAUAAAUAACUUUUGAUUUACUAGGCAAAGCCAGUUAUCGCUCUUUCCAGAAAAGGCACACUCAACUAAGGAUUGCCAUACAUAAACAAGACUAGAAUGGAAGAUGCCAUCUUUUGCAUUUAAAUCGCAUCACAGAGAAGUAAAUUCAUCAAAUUUCAGGACAAAUUCUGAUGUAGGACCAAUGCAAUUGGACGCUUACAAGUGUAUCAACCUUUGAUAGGCAUGUAUGGAGAUGGGGAAAGUAAAAUUAUGCAUAGGUUAGAAGUCCUGAUUGGGUAAGGAUUCACAAAUAGAAUCGAAGUCCUAGUCAAUCUGGAUUUGCUAAUCACUUUAGAAAUCCUAUUUGGUUUAGGACUCCUAGAAAAACCUUUUAAAAAACAAAUCCUAUUCUUUUGGAACCACAUGGUGGUUCACAUUUACUAAAGGAGAGAUCCUCCUCGGGAACCACACCCCACCAAGAGUCUCACAAGGUCUUGGCAUGCCAUCUCUUGGCUGCCAAGGGUGCUGUGCCAUCAAACUCCCUGAGGUUUAGGUUAGCUUUGUCCCUACUCUAUGCUUUAUUAUAGUGCCACUUCAUACAUAUGUUAAAAGGUUUGAUGGUGAAAUAAUCUAGAAGGCUUGUUGGUUAAGUCUCAUUAUGGUAUGCUCCAUCUAAAGGUGCAAUUUCUUCUCAUUCAAUCAUGUGCUUGUGGAGGCCAAGGCAAUUGCCAACUCCCUAAGAUAACAAGGGUUGAUGCCGAAGAAUUGAACAUCGAAGAUUCCAUCCCACUUCAUUAGUUGCUGAUCAUGUUUACACAAUCACUCUAUGCACAAAUUCUACUCGUGUAUAUGUCGAAUCCCAUAAGAAGUGCACAUUAAAACAGGUAAUCUUCAUCAACAUAGUAGUGCACAACAGGUGACCUUCAUCAACAUAAUCAGUUACAAUAUUAGAUACACAUAUGUAGAUAUUCAUUUAGAAUUUUAAUCAGUAUACCAACAAAAUCAAGGGACCAAAUUAGAACUAUGUGAACAAAUCCAUUUAAACCAACUCGGCAAAAUAUUUCACUGCAUGAUUAUUAGCAAUGACUUAUCGUUCUCUAAAAGUAAAUGAAAGCAGGACAAAUCGUUUUUUUUUUUUUUUCAAUGGUAACCAAGUCAUGUCAUAUUAUGUAAGUUCACCCUACAGUUCAAUCGAGAAUAUGCAACAUCCAAUAUCAUCAACUUGAAGAAAACAUAUAAUGGGUAAAUAAAUCAUAUAUGAUCUGCAGAAUAAAUACAUACAGUUCUAGACAGCAGAUUUUAAUGCACAAGUGUCAGUUCAAUAAAGUACUGAAGCGCUUGGUAAAGGCUUCAAAACUAUAAAGCUCAUAACAAGCAGGGCAAACAAAAAUAAAUACAUAGCAAUCAAUCCAUGUACAAUUUGCCCUCGAAAAAGUCUUCAUAACUGACUGUACCUAUUCAAUUUUAUGAAAACAUUUAUCACUUACCAAAAAAAUAUUUUUUCAAGCAUAAUAUUUUCAUGACAAUAAACCAAUAAAAAAACAAAUUUCUCUGAUAAGGCGUUAUAUAAAUGAUAAUCCCAAAUUAAUACAGUGAAUAGCAUAACCACUCAACUAUCAUAUCUUAAAAAGAAGGUGAUUACCAAACAAUAGAGAGUAUCAAAAAGGAAG
RNAcentral lists this long non-coding RNA (4724 nucleotides) under Amborella trichopoda. Its description in RNAcentral is "long non-coding RNA (ATRI_LNC003479)". The record is from RNAcentral. Lineage: Eukaryota; Viridiplantae; Streptophyta; Magnoliopsida; Amborellales; Amborellaceae.